UUGGUCGCGUUCACCAGAAUAAUCCGAGUGCAAUCCGAUUAAUUUGCGCUGAAACGCUGACAGUUUUUUUACUAGUGAACGACUGACGUUUGACAUUCGAUUGAGAGUGUUCUGUGUUCCAUUUGUUUAUGUUUUUAUUCUUUGUUUAUAUAAUUUAUAACCUAAACCUAGACAGUUUUGUUUUUAUUUUAAAUAAAACUGAAACUGUCUAAACUAAAAUGGAUAAUAUUCUUGAAGAACUUUUGUUUGGGGACGAAAUUAGCAAAUGCCGUUAUACAUUUAGCAGAUGUACCUACCUCAAAUUAUUCCAGAAGGAUGAGAUGAAAUUAAAUAUAUAUAAACCAUAAUUCAAUAUCCAAUUUAGAGAACAUUUUCGUAUGUCCAGAACUACUUUCCAGGAACUAUUUAAUUGUAUUGGUCAUAUCCACCAAUUUGAAAACAGAAUAAUUCUAUUGGAAAAAAUUAAUGUUUAUGAUGUGGAUGCUAAGUAAACCAGAUAAUUUGUUGCUGGGGAUACGUUUGAUUUGCCAAAGAGCUCUGGACAUAAGAUUUUCACCCAAAUAAUAUAGAAUUACAAAAAAUUGGAAAUAACUAAUCUUGAAUAUCAAUGUGUAUAUUGAGUUUAAUUUUAUUGUAAAUAUUCUAUAAUAUAAUUUUAUUGUAAAUAUUGUAUUAACACAUUUGUGGACACAUUUUCAUAUGCAGACAGUAAUUUCCCUUUGUAAGUACAUGCAUAUAUAGUCGUAUCUGCGAAUGGGUUAAUUGUAAAUCGUAAUCAAUAAAAAUUUUUUGUGAAUCAAUAAAAAACUGGUUUGUUUGAAAAUAAAUGUAGUACAAAUGUG
Long non-coding RNA from Diabrotica virgifera virgifera (western corn rootworm), 842 nucleotides. RefSeq lists it as uncharacterized. The record is from RefSeq and is a predicted model, not a curated record. The transcript has 2 exons. Lineage: Eukaryota; Metazoa; Arthropoda; Insecta; Coleoptera; Chrysomelidae.